GAUGAACGCUGGCGGCGUGCCUAAUACAUGCAAGUCGAGCGAACAGAUGAGGAGCUUGCUCCUCUGACGUUAGCGGCGGACGGGUGAGUAACACGUGGAUAACCUACCUAUAGGACUGGGAUAACUUCGGGAAACCGGAGCUAAUACCGGAUAAUAUAUUGAACCGCAUGGUUCAAUAGUGAAAGACGGUUUUGCUGUCACUUAUAGAUGGAUCCGCGCCGCAUUAGCUAGUUGGUAAGGUAACGGCUUACCAAGGCAACGAUGCGUAGCCGACCUGAGAGGGUGAUCGGCCACACUGGAACUGAGACACGGUCCAGACUCCUACGGGAGGCAGCAGUAGGGAAUCUUCCGCAAUGGGCGAAAGCCUGACGGAGCAGCGCCGCGUGAGUGAUGAAGGUCUUCGGAUCGUAAAACUCUGUUAUUAGGGAAGAACAAAUGUGUAAGUAACUAUGCACGUCUUGACGGUACCUAAUCAGAAAGCCACGGCUAACUACGUG
RNAcentral lists this ribosomal RNA (497 nucleotides) under uncultured bacterium. RNAcentral's name for it is "partial 16S ribosomal RNA". It matches the Rfam family "Bacterial small subunit ribosomal RNA", at positions 28 to 507 of the family's 1533-position model. The record is from RNAcentral.